AGCCCUGGCCACGCCUUUGUCUCCGUGGGACCCCAGACUGGCCCCUUCCCGCCGUGGUCCCGUGACCUGACCCGGCCUUGAGCGGGGCGGGGGCGGCAGGACCCUCAGGUCUCUCCGCAGGAUGGCAGCGGGGGAGUGAGGCAGCCAGGUAUCCACAGACGGCUCCAUGUGCCCCACGGCACACACAAAAUAAACACCUUCAAAUUGAGCCAAGUACCCGGGGCAGGUGUGGAGUGUCUGCUGAGGCGAAGGCACUGCGGCUCCCUGGGGACACUCGUGGCCUCUCCAGGUUACUACAGAUGGGGGACAGCGGGUCCUUUGGAUUGAUCGCAGAGUUGAACAACAGAGAAUGUGUGCACAGUGCCAGGCACAGGUGUGGUCAAGAUUCACCUGGGAGAGGAAGUGGGCAGGGGCAGAGGAGUGUGCCCACCUGAGCUGAAAGGCUGCAUGGCAGGUGACCAUUAUCACCAGUGUCGCCAGCCAGGUCACCUCUCUGAAUUUUGUGGUUGCAACCUCCAUGAUUCCCUAGAGCUGUUUUUACCCAGAACUAAUGAAAAAUUCUGCACAUUAAAUUCAUGCUAUUAGAA
This is a long non-coding RNA of Homo sapiens (human), 587 nucleotides long. RefSeq annotates it as MMEL1 antisense RNA 1. The record is from RefSeq and is marked validated. The transcript is spliced from 3 exons. Lineage: Eukaryota; Metazoa; Chordata; Mammalia; Primates; Hominidae.